CCUACGGGAGGCAGCAGUGAGGAAUAUUGGUCAAUGGGCGCGAGCCUGAACCAGCCAAGUAGCGUGAAGGAUGACUGCCCUACGGGUUGUAAACUUCUUUUAUAAAGGAAUAAAGUGAGGCACGUGUGCCGUUUUGUAUGUACGGUAUGAAUAAGGAUCGGCUAACUCCGUGCCAGCAGCCGCGGUAAUACGGAGGAUCCGAGCGUUAUCCGGAGUUAGGGGGGUGAAAGGGAGCGUAGAUGGGUUGUUAAGUCAGUUGUGAAAGUUUGCGGCUCAACCGGAAAAGUGCACUUGAUACUGGCAGUCUUUAGUACAGUUGCGGUCGGCGGACUUCGUGUUGUAGCGG
This 346-nucleotide ribosomal RNA is filed under the name uncultured bacterium. RNAcentral's name for it is "partial 16S ribosomal RNA". It matches the Rfam family "Bacterial small subunit ribosomal RNA", at positions 338 to 681 of the family's 1533-position model. The record is from RNAcentral.